This 1203-nucleotide unclassified non-coding RNA is filed under the name Lucilia cuprina (Australian sheep blowfly). Its description in RNAcentral is "polyadenylate-binding protein 2, transcript variant X2". The record is from RNAcentral. Lineage: Eukaryota; Metazoa; Arthropoda; Insecta; Diptera; Calliphoridae.
AUAAUUUUUGUACAAAGAUAUUAAAUUAUACACAAACAAAAAUGGCCGAUGAAGAUUUAUCGUUGAAUGAAGAUCAACUCUUGGAGAAUUUGGAUGAGGCUAAUGGUGAAAAUGAAACAGAACUAAUAAAUGAGGAGGAUAACAAUAUGCAGAUUGAUCCCGAAUUGGAAGCUAUAAAAGCUCGCGUCAAAGAAAUGGAAGAAGAAGCUGAAAAAAUUAAACAAAUGCAGUCGGAAGUGGAUAAACAAAUGGCCGGUUCGACAACGGGCUUAGCUACAGUUCCCUUGUCGUUGGAGGAGAAACAAGAAAUCGAUACCCGUUCAGUGUAUGUGGGUAAUGUUGAUUAUGGUGCAUCGGCUGAAGAAUUGGAGGCUCACUUCCAUGGCUGUGGCACAAUCAAUCGUGUGACUAUAUUGUGCAAUAAGGCUGAUGGUCAUCCUAAGGGAUUUGCCUAUAUUGAAUUUGGUUCCAAAGAAUUUGUUGAGACUGCAUUAGCCAUGAAUGAGACCCUAUUUCGUGGUCGUCAAAUUAAGGUUAUGUCUAAACGUACAAAUCGUCCUGGCCUCUCUACAACCAAUCGUUUUCCCCGUGGCAGUUUUCGUGGUCGUGGUGGUGCUCGUGUCUCUCGAGCAUGUUGUCAUACCACCACAUUCCGUGGCACCCGUCGUCCAAUGUAAGUAGGUUAUCGUGGACGUGUUAAUUACUAUGCUCCUUACUGAUUAAUAUUCUUACCUACUUUUAAUGAUUUUUUUUACAAUAUAUAAUGAUUUCAAAAAACAUUAUAUGAUUGCCAUAAUUACACAAAUAAAAAAAAAAUAAAUAAAUCUUCUUGAAAAAACACAAAAAAUAAAUAUCUAUAUGUAGAAAAAGAUCCGAAAGAUAUAGAACUAAAAAAAAAUACAUAUGAGAAACAAAAAAAAUAUAUAUAUGAUGAGGUGGAAAUGAGAUGCGCAAAAAAAUAUUUAACAUAAAAAAUAUGAUGAAAAAAAUGACGUUAAAACAACAAAAAAAUGUUAAAAUCCUCUAAAAAAUGACUUAAAAAAAAGAAGAAGAAGAGAAGAAGAAGAAGAUGAGACUUAAGAGAAGGACAAUUAUUUCUAAUAGUAAAUGCAAUUUUUUACUAAAUAAAACAAUUACUAAAGUGGCUAAUAAUGUUUUUUGAAUGAUCACCAAAUAAAAUAUAUCUAUAUAUAUAUACAUAUA